ACAGUCAUCUAGAGGGACACAGGAUAGAGGGAGAACAUGAUGAAGGACAAGAGAGGACUGAGACAAUCGACACACAAAUGUGAUAAUGAGGGAACAUCAACAGAAAGUAAUCCAGCUGUAAUCUACUCAGCAAUAAGGGCUGAAGAUGUUAGUUAUGGACACAUAACCAUCACACCAAAGAUGAAAAGAGACUUUGAACCAGAGCCAGACGUCGUCUACUCUUCACUGAAGUAGUCCACCAGUCCAACCACUGACGUCUAACUGGCCACCCCAGCACCUCAAGAGUACAACUAUUCAUUAACAUAUUUUUUUAUGUUUUGUUUUUUUGUUUCUUUGUUUAUUUUUUCAUUUAUGUAGACUCAUAUGAUUUUUAAAAAAUAUGUUAAUAUAUUCCAUAGGUACAGUAAGUUAAUUGUUGUUUAUAAUACAAAUAUGAAUUCUCAGA
Molecule: long non-coding RNA, 445 nt
Organism: Oreochromis aureus
Lineage: Eukaryota; Metazoa; Chordata; Actinopteri; Cichliformes; Cichlidae
Source: Ensembl